UUCGUCUUUUAGGGAUCUCAACUAAGUUAAUUAAAGUUAGAGUUAAAUAAGAUUAGUUAACACAUAAUCAAAUAAUUAGAAGAGUAAACGAGAUAAUGAAAUUGGGCCCCUUCUUGGGCCAAUUUCGCUAUAUUUUUAAGCUUCAAUCUCAUUCCCGUUUUGCGUAUACACUGGAUGUAUAUCAGUGUAUAUGAGCAUAUAUAUUAGCUCUUUUCAUGUAUUUCUCACUUCCGAACACCUGUGUUUCGCCUUCUCCCUGUGUUUUCGCAUUUUUGACCUGUAAUUCGCUGUAUAAUGAGUGUAUACUGCUGUAGACAGCUCGUUUCUCAGCCUUUUUUCAGCUUUCUGAAACUUGUUUUCAAUUUCCAGCCCUGUACAGCCCUAUUCAGAUGACCCGGUUAACUUAAAGAAAAGAAAAAUCGGGCCCCUAUGGCCCAAUCAUUGAAUGCAACGAGAGGGUGGAAGCCCAUGAGGGCUCGGACAUAUUUCACAUGCAAUAAAAAGGAUGAUAAGAAAUUAGAAUUGUCAUAAACAAUAAUUAAAUGUGCAAUCAAUGGGAUGUAAGAAGGUAAAUAUCUAAGAUACAAGACAAAACAUGAUAUCAUUUGACUAAACAAGCAAACUAAUUUAAAGAAAUUUACUACAUUUAUCGAAAACGAGUAUUCGCACAACACAUCCUUUAAUAAAACUAAGUCACAUGGUGGUGCCCAAUCAAAGCCACAUGCCAAGCUUCAUCAACUCAUUUUGAAUCUAUUGCUAUGCCAAAAUUCAUGCUUAAUCUAAUUAAUGUAAAAUAGACUAACCAACAUGGAUAGACCAAUUUUAAGAAUUGAACCUACAACACUAUCUUAAUAAGGAGCAAGGCCUAAAGAAAGGUAGCAACAAGGUUUAACAGAAUGAAUAAGAGCAUUAAUAUUGUUGACAAAAUAGUCCUCCUCAAAUGUCCACUAUAUACUAAUGCAAUAUUUUUCAAAUGAUCAGAGAGAAAAUAAAAUAAAAUAAAACAAAAUCAAUAAAGCAUCACAAUGAACUUGAACAUCAACUGAUAGAGAUUACAUAUUCAACAUACAUCUAAAGAUAAAGAACUAUACUAAUCCUAAAUUUAUUAAAGUAAAAUUAGGCCAUAUAGAAAGCUUCUUAACUAGAUGAAUAUAUAAUAUAAUAUUAACUAAAUGAUGUACAUAAAAGUCAACAGUGAACUAAAUGGAUUGAUUGCUAGACAAAAUUGCACAAAGGCAUGAAAGCUAUGGUGGAAAACUAUCAUUUUGAACACAUCUAGAUAUAACUCCUACUAUUAAACUUUAAGAACUUAACAUCUAUAAGGAACAUUUCUAAGUUAAUGGGCAAAAUAAAUAAAAAUAAUCCAACUCACCUCAAAACUAAACCAACUACACGUUUUAAAAGCUCAUGGCAUUAGGUGGCAUUCCAAAACAGGGAACAAAAGUAUAUGACAACUACCUUAAAGGACACAUGAGAGGGUAUAGAACACAUUAAGGGAAGCAACAACGACUAAUCUAAUUUGAACUUGAGAGCCUAUUUAUUUAUUGAUUAUUAGCAACAUAUCAAGACUACAUUGAACGUUAAUAAACAAACCAACAAAUUUGGGGCACUCACUAAACAUGAUCAAUGCUACAGAAUUGAAGUUGGAUAACUUUAAAGGCUAGUAAUCAUCUACUCUUGCACAAUAAUAAAACUAGCAAAAUCUGGAAGUACACUACUUAACAGAGAAAAACAAGGUGGUAAAAUCUUACACUUCAACUAUUGAGCCCUUUUAACCACAUCAAACAGAUAGUCAAGAUUUAUCAUGAAAGUAGACUUUUAACAUGAUUGAAUUGAAUGUAGAUGCUUGCUACACGGUUAGGAAACAAAGUUUUCACGAAAAGGAUUAGAGACUUUAGCAUCGAGGCUGUGGAUCGUGGAAACAAGCAGGUUAUAAUAAUACUACGCCUUGAAGCCAAAAAAGAACAAAACAAUAGCAAGACAUGGACAACAUUCUAGUAUGUAAAAGCAGCAAUUGGAUUUAAAUAGCAUGAGAUUGAGCAAAUAUUGAUAAGAGUUUAUUAUAAUGAAUAAAAAGCGACAAAGGGGACAACCAAGGCUACGAUUAAGCAGUGAAGAAAUAGAACUUAUACAUUUAGCACACUCAAAGUUGAAACCAAUCGAACAGUGGAUCAUCUCGAGCAAACUAAACAAGUUCAGCUGGCUUUAUAGAUACAAAAUCGAGCCAACAAGUCUAAGGACUAACAUACAACACUAAAGUGACUUCAUCGAUGCUUGAAUCAUGUUUACUGCUCAAAAAACUCACAGGAAAAUGGUACUAAAGAAAAGACUUAAAAGCGUAGGAACCGAACGUUCUUAAUAACACACUCCAUACCAAGUAUCGAACACAUAGCACACCAUAUCGAAAACAGAACAUAAGAGGAGGCGAAGUUACCUUUUUUGGAGCAGCGAGCUGGGACGAACGAGCUUAGAAGAGAGCGACUUCUCACACGACUUUAAUCUGGGGCAGUAAACCAAGAAAUUCAAACCAACUUCGAACAAAAGACCUUCUCGAAACUUUAGACGUCUGAAAUUUCCCAAGUGUAAAAUUUAUCGUUCAAAGAAUUCUUUUUUUUUUGCCCCCCCAAACAGUGAUCAAAAGAGAUGAUUAUAUAACUGGAAAAUCGGGGGAAAUCGGGUGAAUUUUUCAAUUUUAAAUUCGGACUUCUCUGCCUCUUUUCAAGAUAACAGUGGAAAGGAUUCGAAAAUCCCUGAAAAGGGGGAAAGCAGGGUGACGAAGUGACCAUCUAGACCACUAGGUUAUGGGUUUUGCAGGGUAGUUGGACGAGCAUACUGUUGUGCGCGUUUUCUGGGUUUGUAGCGUUCUUCGCUGUUGUCGCGUGAAGAAGACGAGAAGUGUGGUCGUUUGCUGCGUUGUAUUGCUCUAUGUAUUGUUGGGUCUUUGUGUUGUUGGGCUGAGGUGGUGGGCUGUAAUGUUGUUGUUGUAUGGUAUUGCUGUGUAUUGUUGGGCUGGGAAAAUGGGAUUGGAAAUGGCCCAAAAUUGGCCUAUUGAAUUGGGUAAGCAAUUCACUAAAAUUGUUAUUAAAUAAUAGUCAAAUGGAUUUCAAUUAUUGCCGAAUAGAAUUUAAUUGGUGAAUUUGGCUGAAAUUUAAACAAGACGAGUUAAUACAAAUUAAUUAAUGAACUUCUUAAUCUCAACGAAAAUAAAAAUAAUUAACUUAAUUAUAAACUAACUAAUUCAAUUACAAAACUAAUUAACUCGAAAUUAUAACUAUACUUAAAGUAAAUUAAUAAAAUAUUUAACUAAGAUAUAAAAUCUUUUGUGAUGAUUUUUCAAAUAUUUAUAAAAUAAAGUGAUUGCAAAAAUAUACAUAUUUAUUAUUAAAAAUGAUAAAAUUACUUUAAAAUAACUCGAAGGUAUUUUGAAUUUCAUAAAACUCAUUAAUUCAAAAUUAUAACCAUCCCUAAUAUUUAAAAUAUAAAAAUCUUUUUUUGAGACGAAUUUCGAAUAAUCAUAAAAUAUACUAAUUAGAUACAUAAUUCUGUAAAACACAUAUAUCAUUUAAAAAUUAUGAAAAGUGACAAAACUAUUCAAAAAUCUUGCAAACUAUAUUAUUAUUUUUUGGAAAUUUUAUAAAACUAAUUUUUUUUUUUUAAAAAAAAAAAUCAUUUGAAAUUGAAGAAGCUCAAAAUGAUUAAUUUAUAUUGUGGAAGGUCAAAAUUCGGUGUCAACAGGUGGAGGAGCAGUCUCUUGGAAAUCUUCCAAAUAGAGAUGUAUCGCUCGCUCUACUAUGAAAUCUGAGUUUAUCACUCUAGAUAAGGCCGGUAAAGAAGUUGAAUGACUCCAAAAUUUUCUUGAAAGAUUUUUGGCCCAAACCUUUUAGAUCCAAUAUGCAUACAAUGUGAGAGUUAAUUUGCAAUAGGUAAAGCAUGGAGCAUGAUGUAUAACGGAAAGUCUCGUCAUAUAUGACGUAGACAUAAUAUCGUUAGAAAACUACUCUCUAGUGGAAUUAUCAUAAUUGACUAUGUAAAGUCAAAGGAUAAUGUGUUAGAUCAACUUAUAAAAGGCCUAACUAGAGAGGGAGUUGAUAGAUUAUCAAAGGGAAUGGGACUAUGGCCGAGAACAAGUCAUUGUGGUAGUAACUCUACCUAGAAGACUAGAGAUCCCAAGAUCUAGGUUCAAGGAGAUCAAACAAAGUCAUUGAUGACGGUUCAACAUUGUCAAAAUAUUUUUUAUGGUCCAUUCUCAUGAUAAGACAAUGUUCAGUAGCAAGGAUAAAUGCAUUAGGACUUUUUAAUGAUUUCUAAGUUUGAUACAGGGUAUAUCAAAUGGUGUAUCUACUAGAUAACACAUUUAGAAAUCACCUAUGUAAGUGUGAAGUGUAAGCCGCUUUAAAAGAGAAUCUGGUAAGGCCAGUUCUCUACGCACUUAUAAACCAAGACGUGUUCAUGGCUGAAACGAACAAAACAAUGAGAACCAAAAAUAGUUCAAGGGUUGAUUGCGUGACUUAUGUUGUCUAGGUAUACACCAAAGCUCUACGAUUCAAAGAUAUCAAAUCUACCGAUUGACCGAGUAUAUCUGAUAUAUGUUCACUAUGGAAAGUUCAAAGGGAAACCCACUUAUCCAGAGGCAAUCAAUCCUUAAUUACGAAUCACACAGUUUUUCAUGCAUAUGUUUUAACAAUUGUCGUUCCCUAUUCAUGUGAGGGAUUACUGGAUUUUAAAGGUGUGAACAGGAAAUAAAGGAUUGUGACUCUCCUGAAGAGUUGUGACUAUGCCGAAGGGUUGUGACCUUUAUAAAAGGUUGUGUCCUUUCUUAAGGAUUGCGAUCGUUUGAAAGGUUGUGCCUUUUCCAAAGUGUUAUGACCUUUCUGAAAGGUUGUCUCUUUCCAAAGGGUUGUGACCUUUACCCUUUGUUGGCUAUAAAUAGAGAGGUUUUCUCUCAUUUUUCUGAAUCGAAUUCUUCCCUUCUUUUGCAUACAUUUCUUACAAAACAAAAUCGAUCGAUCGUGUCUGUGUGUGAUUCGUUGUUGUCAUUUUGAGUUCGUUGAAAUUAUCGAAGUUUGAGGCACCACUACUUCUUUAAUGGUUAAUCCGUUUUAUCUUGAGAGGAAUUAAUCUGCAACCUCGGGUACUUGAGGGGAUUAAAUUUCUUAAGGACAUACAAUGGGUUAUGUGGACUCAGAUAGUUCUUUGUGUUUUUCUUUUCAUCUUUUAUUAUUUCUGAUUUGCUAAUCUGAAUACNNNNNNNNNNNNNNNNNNNNNNNNNNNNNNNNNNNNNNNNNNNNNNNNNNNNNNNNNNNNNNNNNNNNNNNNNNNNNNNNNNNNNNNNNNNNNNNNNNNNNNNNNNNNNNNNNNNNNNNNNNNNNNNNNNNNNNNNNNNNNNNNNNNNNNNNNNNNNNNNNNNNNNNNNNNNNNNNNNUUUUCCAAAGUGUUGUGACAUUUCUGAAAGGUUGUCUUCUUUCCAAAGGGUUGUGACCUUUACCCUUUGUUGGCUAUAAAUAGAGAAGUUUUCUCUCAUUUUUUUGUAUCAAAUUCUUCCCUUCUUUUGCAUACAUUUCUUACAAAACAAAAUCGAUCGAUCGUGUCUGUGUGUGUGAUUCGUUGCUGUCAUUUUGAGUUCGUUGAAAUUAUCGAAGUUUGAGGUACCGCUACUUCUUUAAUGGCUAAUCCGUUUUAUCUUGGGAGGAAUUAAUCUGCAACCUCGGGUACUUGAGGGGAUUAAAUUUCUUAAGGACACACAGUUGGUUUUGUGGACUCGGAUAGUUCUUUGUGUUUUUCUUUUCAUCUUUUAUUAUUUCUGGUUUGCUAAUCUGAAUACAGGAGUUAACAUAAACAACAUAAACUGAUUUGUUAAAUUACUACAUUAAACCCUAUCUGAUAACACUUUAUAAUUCUCAAAGAAGUACAUUCCAUACUACUUGUGCAUUUUCAUUUUAAGAUUUGUUGAGUUGGAAUUCUUGUAUUUCUUUGAUUAAAAGUGUUAAACUAAGAUGAGAAGAUCCAUCAUUUUCUAUUGCAUUUUUUGCAAUUCGUCCAACUUCUUUCGCUCUUUUUCUCCUAUCAUUUCCUUCUUUCUCUUUGUCCAUCACCUUUUUAAUGGUUUUAGUCACUUCUUCUUUGUUCACUUGGACUUCAGGCUUCUUUUCCUCUCCCAAAUGCAUAACUCCUUGAGAUCCAACACUCAGUCCUAUUUUUAAGACAUGUACUAAGAAUCUCUCGUUCAGAAACUGCUCGGAAAAUAAAGGCCAAGUGAUCAUAGGCACACUAGCAGCGAUCCCCUCAAGGGUCGAAUUCCAACCACAAUGAGUCAAGAACCCUCCAAUUGCAGGGUGUGAUAGGAUCAAUACUUGUGGUGCCCAGCCACAGAUCAAAUGCCCUCUUUCUUUUGUUCUUGUCUCAAAUCUAUUUUUCGAUAUCCAGUCCUCUAUUGGUGCUUGUCCUUCCCCUGCUUUUAUGACUAAAAUGAAUGGACAACCUGAUUCUUCCAGGCCUAAAGCUAGCUCCACAAAUUGUACAAUUGUAAUACGACCGAGACUCCCAAGACAUGCAUACACAACAGACUCAGGCUGCCAAGAAUCAAGCCAUUUAUUUAAACUGUCCUCCUUGUCAAAUGACGUCUUAUUCCCUCUCUGAGCUUUAUCUAGAUUGUCAUUGUUACAGAGACACAAAGGUCCAAUACACCAAACUCUUCCAUCUUUAAGUUUUUGGAAUUCAUCAACGUACCUUUUUUCAAACUCCUCGAAAGUAUUGAUUACAACCACAUAGGCUCUUGUUUCAGCUGCUCGUAUUUUGUCUCAAAUAUCUUGUAUGCAAUGUGUUCCUGGAUUGAAUGCUCCAGGCAGCUGACAUUUAGUUACCUCAAUUCUAUCUGGCAAAUCAGGGAUGACAAAAGGCCCUGAUUCAGGAAUUUCACUUUGAUCCUUCAUGAUGUACAAAUUAUGCAUACAUAAUUGAGUGAAACAACUCAUUCCAUCAAAAAUAAUUCUUGGAAUCUGAAACUUAUCAGCUGUCUCAGCUGUCCAAGCAAUAUGAGUAUCACAAAUAAUUCAACUUGGCUUAGGCUUCAUCUC
This 7073-nucleotide long non-coding RNA is filed under the name Solanum tuberosum (potato). RNAcentral's name for it is "long non-coding RNA (STUB_LNC006809)". The record is from RNAcentral. Lineage: Eukaryota; Viridiplantae; Streptophyta; Magnoliopsida; Solanales; Solanaceae.